This is a long non-coding RNA of Aphis gossypii (cotton aphid), 2517 nucleotides long. RefSeq lists it as uncharacterized. The transcript is spliced from 7 exons. The record is from RefSeq and is a predicted model, not a curated record. Lineage: Eukaryota; Metazoa; Arthropoda; Insecta; Hemiptera; Aphididae.
UGAGAGUCAAUACCUAUAGAGUCUUGAACUAAAAAAGUUAUGAAUGGUUAUAUAAGUUAUAAAUUAAAUGUAUUGUAAAAUUAUAUUAUUUGACUUAAAUUAAAUAAACUAACUAAGUCAUAUUUUUAAGGGUGAGCAUUGAUUAUGUAGUUAAAAUGUUUAAAAAAAGAAAAAGUUAAUUUUUUUUAAACUAUUUAAAUUUUUUAAUUAACUUCAGAAUAUAAUUAUAGUUGAAUUUAUCAUUUAUUAGCUAUUAACUAUAUUGACUUAGAACAAUCUUGUGUUCACCAAACUUAUCUUGACUUAAAUGUAUUCAUUGACAUGCUCACUUUUGCAUAUCUUGGCGUUAACUCUACCAUUGGCGGUCCUCAGUCCGUAUGAAAAAGAAGGAAGGGUGCUUUAACGACAUUAUUAUUUUUUUGUAAUUUUCAAGUAUUUAAAAUUAAUCAUGCUUCUUUUGGUUUAUUAUAAUUGAAAGUCAUGUAUUGUUCUUUUAAAUUGAUUUUUAAUCGUAAUACUAUCUUUAAUGUGUUUUUUUAUUUUUAUUUUGUAGGUUAUAUUAUCAUUGCUGAAGUUGUAGCCAGUGUUUAUAAUGCACAGGACUAGGACAUGUAGUGUGAAUUGGAAAGUGGAAACAAUACCUAAUUCAGACAUUUAAAUAAACAUUUCAGAUUUAUAAGAUGUCAAGUUUAGGUCUAUAUAUCUACAGAAUUCUAUGUGGAAGUCUUAUGUGUCUAUAGACUAUAGAAUCUAUUUAAGGUUUAUUAGACUUAUUAUUUUAUAAAAAUACUAUUUAUGCGUUGUUUUUCUUUAUUUUAAAAUGUAUUUUUUUUUUUUACAAAAUCGGGUGACAAAGCAAGACAAAUUUGCUGAAGUAUAAAAGAAUAAAAGACCUAUGAAUGAUAGAACUACAGUAAAAGACCAAAAACGUGAUAAAAGAAGGAAAUGUAUUAGUCAAUGUUUUAGAGUUUCCUUUAUUUGAUGAUAUGUGUAAAAUCCUUAUUUGUGAACUGAUUUAUGGCGCUAUUUUCAUUAAGAUGUUCAUAAGACUAAGAGCAAAAUCAAACCAAAUAUUGAAGAGCCUGAAAAUAUCAAUCCAUUUAUGCAAUAUUCACAAUCAGGAAACCAUUGGAGUGGUAAAGGAAGGAAAUCUACUAGCCACUAUUUAUGGGAUUCUGAGUUACCUAGUUUUGAUGUUCCAAAAUCUCACUCUUUCUUAAAAUUUUUACCAUCUACAGAUAUAUUUUAAUUUCUAAUUGUUAAUAAAAGAUGAUCAGUUUUCACCUCUAAUAUUUGCCUCAUCAUCAAAUUCCCCAUCAUAUCCAAUUCCAUCAAACCACCGUGAUGAAUCAAACAAUUUAGAAAGCAUAAAAAUCUGAAAUAAAAUAACUGAUGACAUUACAGUUUCAAGAACAUAGGAAAACCAAUGAUUUACUCAAUAAAUUGUUGAUAACCAGAUCAGAAGAUGAUGUUUCGAUACCACAAAAUUUCAACAGAGAACAUUUUACUAUUACUUUUGCUUACUUGCUUACUGUUCCUUUAAAUGACAUUCAACAUUUAGCAAAAUCAUUAAAACUAGCUGCAUCAAGACAUUAAUUAAUUCAAUGCGGUUGUUCUACAAUUGAAGAUACUUCUGAUUUAAUGCUUCAAUUAUUGUUUACUGACUUAUGUGGCUCCUUGUAUAAUUGUGAGGGAAAAAUUAAAAUAAAUUUAUUUUUAUGGAUCCAACAAUUCAUGGCAUUAUUAUUGAUAUAGCCUUGUUUAAGCAUCUAGAAGAUACAGAACAAACAGUAGUAAGAAAAAUAAAAAAAAUUGUUUGAGGUUAGCACCAAUAAGAAUUAAUAGUAAAAUAGGGCAAAAAUAUCACAAAACAAAAACAUAAUUAUAUAUUAUUAGCUAUUAUUUACUUAAAUUAAAGUAAAAAGACAAAAUAUCAAUUAGAUAUUUAUAUUUUAUACUAAUAUAAAUGUGAUAGAUACUAUUUUAUAACAUUAAUUUUGAAUACCAUAAGUAUUAAUUUUGUAUUUUGAUUUUUCAUUGCAUAUAAAUGGUUUUUAAAUGCAUACUAUGCAAUAUUGUUAUGUUAAAUUUUAUAGUAAAAUAGUAUUUAUAGUUGUGAACCUGUUAUAGUAUUAAUCGCUUAAAAUUGCUGUGUAUUUAUUUUUGUUUAUAUGCAUAUUUUAUUUCUUAAAAAAUUGUAUGUAUUGAUUUUAAGAUUAAAAACUAUGGUUGAACAUCAAUCUUGUAUACUUUAUAAAUUAUGUUAAAAAUAAUGAAAAUAAAAUACAUUUUUUUUUUACAUAUUUAUUAUUUUAUAGGGUAUAUUCUACAGAAUAAGAACAUAAUGCAUACUUCUAAGGUUUUUUGAACACAUAAAUCCAGUCUCUAGCUAUAACUGACAAAAAUGUUUUUUAAAUUAAAGUACUUAACUAAAACCUUACUACCACAUACUACUAUUUUUUCCCUAAUAACUUAUUUUUAAAAUUACUAAUAUAUUGUAAUAUAAUAACAGUAAUA